UACGGGGGGAGCAAGCGUUGUUCGGAUUUACUGGGCGUAAAGGGCGCGUAGGCGGCGCAACAAGUCACUUGUGAAAUCUCCGGGCUUAACCCGGAGCGGCCAAGUGAUACUGUCGUGCUAGAGUGCGGAAGGGGCUACUGGAAUUCUCGGUGUAGCGGUGAAAUGCGUAGAUAUCGAGAGGAACACCUGCGGCGAAGGCGGCUUCCUGGACCGAUACUGACGCUGAGACGCGAAAGCGUGGGGAGCAAACAGG
This 253-nucleotide ribosomal RNA is filed under the name uncultured bacterium. Its description in RNAcentral is "partial 16S ribosomal RNA". It matches the Rfam family "Bacterial small subunit ribosomal RNA", at positions 524 to 776 of the family's 1533-position model. The record is from RNAcentral.